AAAUAUAUUGCUUAUCCUGAAUUCAGUGCGAUUUGCAAUGGCCGUCCUGCUGACUGUGGUCUUACUUUCCUGCAUGUGCAGCAAACUGAAGCCAUGUAGGGCCUCCGGUGGAAGUCAGGCUAAUGAACAAAAUCUAUUGAAGAUGGAGAAACUGCACACAGGGAGUAAUCUGGCGUUGUGCUGAUUGGCGUCA
This is a long non-coding RNA of Xiphophorus hellerii (green swordtail), 193 nucleotides long. RefSeq lists it as uncharacterized. The record is from RefSeq and is a predicted model, not a curated record. NCBI's taxonomy places the organism in Eukaryota, Metazoa, Chordata, Actinopteri, Cyprinodontiformes, Poeciliidae. The transcript is spliced from 2 exons.